RNAcentral lists this ribosomal RNA (429 nucleotides) under Pseudomonadota bacterium. Its description in RNAcentral is "Proteobacteria bacterium partial 16S ribosomal RNA". It matches the Rfam family "Bacterial small subunit ribosomal RNA", at positions 355 to 776 of the family's 1533-position model. Lineage: Bacteria; Pseudomonadati; Pseudomonadota. The record is from RNAcentral.
UGGGGAAUAUUGGACAAUGGGCGAAAGCCUGAUCCAGCCAUGCCGCGUGUGUGAAGCAGGUCUUCGGAUUGUAAAGCACUUUAAGUUGGGAGGAAGGGCAGUAAGCGAAUACCUUGCUGUUUUGACGUUACCGACAGAAUAAGCACCGGCUAACUCUGUGCCAGCAGCCGCGGUAAUACAGAGGGUGCAAGCGUUAAUCGGAAUUACUGGGCGUAAAGCGCGCGUAGGUGGUUCGUUAAGUUGAAUGUGAAAGCCCCGGGCUCAACCUGGGAACUGCAUCCAAAACUGGCGAGCUAGAGUAGGGCAGAGGGUGGUGGAAUUUCCUGUGUAGCGGUGAAAUGCGUAGAUAUAGGAAGGAACACCAGUGGCGAAGGCGACCACCUGGGCUCAUACUGACACUGAGGUGCGAAAGCGUGGGGAGCAAACAGG